RNAcentral lists this ribosomal RNA (496 nucleotides) under uncultured bacterium. RNAcentral's name for it is "bacterial SSU rRNA". It matches the Rfam family "Bacterial small subunit ribosomal RNA", at positions 24 to 518 of the family's 1533-position model. The record is from RNAcentral.
UCAGGAUGAACGCUGGCGGCGUGCUUAACACAUGCAAGUCGAACGGAGUUUUUAAACGGAAGUUUUCGGAUGGAAGUUUAAGAACUUAGGUGGCGGACGGGUGAGUAACGCGUGGGUAACCUGCCUCAUACAGGGGGAUAACAGUUAGAAAUGACUGCUAACACCGCAUAAUAUAGCGAAACCGCAUGAUUUUGCUAUCAAAUAUUUAUAGGGUAUGAGAUGGGCCCGCGUCUGAUUAGCUAGUUGGUGGGGUAAAAGCCUACCAAGGCGACGAUCAGUAGCCGGCUUGAGAGAGUGACCGGCCACAUUGGGACUGAGACACGGCCCAAACUCCUACGGGAGGCAGCAGUGGGGAAUAUUGGACAAUGGGGGAAACCCUGAUCCAGCCGACGCCGCGUGAGUGAAGAAGUAUUUCGGUAUGUAAAGCUCUAUCAGCAGGGAAGAUAAUGACAGUACCUGACUAAGAAGCCCCGGCUAACUACGUGCCAGCCGCGGC